Molecule: ribosomal RNA, 443 nt
Filed under: uncultured bacterium
Lineage: Bacteria
Description: partial 16S ribosomal RNA
Rfam family: Bacterial small subunit ribosomal RNA
Source: RNAcentral
CCUACGGGAGGCAGCAGUGGGGAAUAUUGGGCAAUGGGCGCAAGCCUGACCCAGCAACGCCGCGUGAAGGAAGAAGGCUCUCGGGUUGUAAACUUCCUUUCUCAGGGAAGAAGCAAGUGACGGUACCUGAGGAAUAAGCCACGGCUAACUACGUGCCAGCAGCCGCGGUAAUACGGAGGUGGCAAGCGUUAUCCGGAUUUACUGGGUGUAAAGGGCGUGUAGGCGGGACUGCAAGUCAGAUGUGAAACCCACGGGCUCAACCUGUGGCCUGCAUUUGAAACUGUAGUUCUUGAGUACUGGAGAGGCAGACGGAAUUCCUAGUGUAGCGGUGAAAUGCGUAGAUAUUAGGAGGAACACCAGUGGCGAAGGCGGUCUGCUGGACAGCAACUGACGCUGAGGCGCGAAAGCGUGGGGAGCAAACAGGAUUAGAUACCUUUGUAGUC